UUUAGGUUAGGUUAUGUUAUGUUAGUUUAGUUUAAGCUAGGCUAGGCAAGGCUAGGCUAGGCUAGGCUAGGUUAUGUUAGGUUAGUUUAUGUUAGUUAGGUCAAGGUAGGAGAUUUAUGUCAAGAUAGGAUACUAACGUCACUUUAGUUUAUGUAUGUUAAGUUAAUUAGUUCAAGUUAUGUUAGCAGGGAUUUGUUAUGUUCAUUAUGUCAUGUUAGGUUAUUUAGGUUAAGUUAUGUUAGUUAUGUGAAGUUAUGUUAUGUGAAAUUAUGUUAGUUAGGUCAAGGAAGGUAAUUAUGUCAGGUAAGGUUGGUGAGGUUGAGUUAUGUUUGAUGAUCUGAUUGAUAAAUAUAAAAUAAAUUAAGAAAAUAAUAAUAAGUAUCUGUGUUAAGGGUGUUCAGAAAAGUGGGGGAGGUGGUUGGGGUUCAAGUCCUGCAAUCAAUGUGCAAAGUUGUCUGAGAAAAUUGUUCCAAAGUAACAGUAUUAAAGCCCGCGGUUUAACCGCGGGUGGGCCUCUGGUGUUUUCAUUAAUCAAGAACGAAAGUUAGAGGUUCGAAGGCGAUCAGAUACCGCCCUAGUUCUAACCAUAAACGAUGCCAGCUAGCGAUCCGCCGAAGUUCCUCCGAUGACUCGGCGGGCAGCUUCCGGGAAACCAAAGCUUUUGGGUUCCGGGAGAAGUAUGGUUGCAAAGCUGAAACUUAAAGGAAUUGACGGAAGGGCACCACCAGGAGUGGAGCCUGCGGCUUAAUUUGACUCACCACAGGAAACCUCAAAAGGCCCGGACACCAGAAGGAUUGACAGAUUGAGAGCACUUUCUUGAUUCGGGGGGGUGGGGGUGGUGCAUGGCCGUUCUUAGUUGGUGGAGCGAUUUGUCUGGUUAAUUCCGAUAACGAACGAGACUCGGGCCUGCUAACUAGUCGCUUCCGGUAUCCCUUCGUGCUACCGGCGACAAAUUAUCUUCUUAGAGGGACAGGCGGCUUCUAGCCGCACGAGAUUGAGCAAUAAUAGGUAUGUGAUGCCCUUAGAUGUUCUGGGCCGCACGAGCGCUACACUGAAGAAAUCAGCGUGUUCUCCUAGCCCGAAAGGGCCGGGUAACCUGUUGAAUCUCCUUCGUGCUAGGGAUUGGGGCUUGCAAAUGUUCCCCAUGAAACGAGGAAUUCCCAGUAAGCGCGAGUCAUAAGCUCGUGUUGAUUACAUCCCUGCCCUUUGUACACACCGCCCGUCGCUACUACCGAUUGAAUGAUUUAGUGAGGUCUUCGUGCCGGUGCGCGAUGGUUCGCUCGUCGAGUCGUUGAUGUUGCUAGAAAGAUGACCAAACUUGAUCGUUUAGAGGAAGUAAAAGUCGUAACAAGGUUUCCGUAGGUGAACCUGCGGAAG
Molecule: ribosomal RNA, 1377 nt
Filed under: Medauroidea extradentata
Lineage: Eukaryota; Metazoa; Arthropoda; Insecta; Phasmatodea; Phasmatidae
Description: SSU rRNA
Rfam family: Eukaryotic small subunit ribosomal RNA (bases 206-1377)
Source: RNAcentral